This 207-nucleotide ribosomal RNA is filed under the name uncultured bacterium. RNAcentral describes it as "partial 16S ribosomal RNA". It matches the Rfam family "Bacterial small subunit ribosomal RNA", at positions 568 to 774 of the family's 1533-position model. The record is from RNAcentral.
UGCGUAGGCGGCUUUCUAAGUCGGAUGUGAAAACUCUGGGCUCAACCCAGAGCCUGCAUCCGAAACUGGAGAGCUAGGGUUCUGGAGGGGAAAGCGGAAUUCCUGGUGUAGCGGUGAAAUGCGUAGAUAUCAGGAGGAACACCGGUGGCGAAGGCGGCUUUCUGGACAGAUACCGACGCUGAGGCACGAAAGCUAGGGGAGCAAACA